UAAGCAUAUCACUAAGCGGAGGAAAAGAAACUAACUAGGAUUCCCCCAGUAACUGCGAGUGAAGAGGGAAGAGCUCAUCAUUGGAAUCUGGCAGUGUUGCACUGUCCGAGUUGUAGAUGAGGAGUAGUCCGUCUGGACUGCAUGGCGUCCAAGUACAAUAGGCCGUCAGUGGGACAUCAUAGAGGGUGACAAUCCCGUCCUUGACGCCAAUGUGCAAGUCUAUUACGAUGGCUAUCUCAGAGAGUCGAGCAGUUUGGGAUUUGCUGCUUAAACAUGGGAGGUAGAUUCCUUCUAAAGCUAAAUACAGGCGAGAGACCGAUAGAGAACAAGUACCGCAAGGGAAAGAUGAAAUAGCACUCUGUGAAGGGAGUCAAAAGGCGUGAAAUUGUUGCGAGAGAAGCGAUUCAAGUCAGCGUAGCUAGGCCCAUCAAGCGUCUUCGCUUUGGACUAGCUUUGCCAGCGGUCUUGUCCCUUCAAGAGACUUGACUUGUAAUAUGUCCAGCCUGGCGUGCACAGGCAGCCCCUUCUGGGGGCCAGUGGCAUGGCUGGUGGAAUGGCUUGCAAUCGACCCGUCUUGAAACACGGACCAAGGAGUCUAACAUGUAUGCGAGUAUAAGGGUGGCAAACCCGUAUGCGCAAUGAAAGUGAUUUUCGGUGAUUGAGAAUGGCCUGAUGACCAGACAAGCAAUAUAUGUCCCUCGUACGGCCAUUGCCCAAGUUCCGUGGUAGAUCCCACGAACAUGGAGUUGGAGCAUACAUGCUAGGACCCGAAAGAUGGUGAACUAUGCCUGGACAAAGCGAAGCCAAAGGAAACUCUGGUGGAGGCUUGUAGCGAUUCUGACGUGCAAAUCGAUCGUCUGAUCUGGGUAUAGGGGCGAAAGACUAAUCGAACCAUCUCAUAGCUGGUUCCUGCCGAAGU
Molecule: ribosomal RNA, 919 nt
Filed under: Cantharellus subalbidus
Lineage: Eukaryota; Fungi; Basidiomycota; Agaricomycetes; Cantharellales; Hydnaceae
Description: eukaryotic LSU rRNA
Rfam family: Eukaryotic large subunit ribosomal RNA
Source: RNAcentral